UACGUAGGGUGCAAGCGUUAAUCGGAAUUACUGGGCGUAAAGCGUGCGCAGGCGGUUUUGUAAGUCUGUCGUGAAAUCCCCGGGCUCAACCUGAGAAUUGCGAUGGAGACUGCAAGGCUAGAAUCUGGCAGAGGGGGGUAGAAUUCCACGUGUAGCAGUGAAAUGCGUAGAGAUGUGGAGGAACACCGAUGGCGAAGGCAGCCCCCUGGGUCAAGAUUGACGCUCAUGCACGAAAGCGUGGGGAGCAAACAGG
RNAcentral lists this ribosomal RNA (253 nucleotides) under uncultured bacterium. Its description in RNAcentral is "partial 16S ribosomal RNA". It matches the Rfam family "Bacterial small subunit ribosomal RNA", at positions 524 to 776 of the family's 1533-position model. The record is from RNAcentral.